This 72-nucleotide transfer RNA is filed under the name Ictidomys tridecemlineatus (thirteen-lined ground squirrel). RNAcentral's name for it is "Spermophilus tridecemlineatus (thirteen-lined ground squirrel) tRNA". It matches the Rfam family "tRNA". Rfam says of the family: Transfer RNA (tRNA) molecules are approximately 80 nucleotides in length. Their secondary structure includes four short double-helical elements and three loops (D, anti-codon, and T loops). Lineage: Eukaryota; Metazoa; Chordata; Mammalia; Rodentia; Sciuridae. The record is from Rfam by way of RNAcentral.
UGAGGUGUAGCUCAGUGGUAAAGUGCUUGCCUUGUACGUGUGAGGCAAUGGGUUCAAUUCUCAGCACCACAU